UUGCUGCUUUGCUGACGAGUGGCUGACGGGUGAGUAAUGUCUGGGAAACUGCCUGAUGGAGGGGGAUAACUACUGGAAACGGUAGCUAAUACCGCAUAACGUCGCAAGACCAAAGAGGGGGACCUUAGGGCCUCUUGCCAUCGGAUGUGCCCAGAUGGGAUUAGCUAGUAGGUGGGGUAACGGCUCACCUAGGCGACGAUCCCUAGCUGGUCUGAGAGGAUGACCAGCCACACUGGAACUGAGACACGGUCCAGACUCCUACGGGAGGCAGCAGUGGGGAAUAUUGCACAAUGGGCGCAAGCCUGAUGCAGCCAUGCCGCGUGUAUGAAGAAGGCCUUCGGGUUGUAAAGUACUUUCAGCGGGGAGGAAGGGAGUAAAGUUAAUACCUUUGCUCAUUGACGUUACCCGCAGAAGAAGCACCGGCUAACUCCGUGCCAGCAGCCGCGGUAAUACGGAGGGUGCAAGCGUUAAUCGGAAUUACUGGGCGUAAAGCGCACGCAGGCGGGUUUGUAAAGUCAGAUGUGAAAUCCCCGGGCUCAACCUGGGAACUGCAUCUGAUACUGGCAAGCUUGAGUCU
Molecule: ribosomal RNA, 577 nt
Filed under: Enterobacteriaceae bacterium HGB0083
Lineage: Bacteria; Pseudomonadati; Pseudomonadota; Gammaproteobacteria; Enterobacterales; Enterobacteriaceae
Description: bacterial SSU rRNA
Rfam family: Bacterial small subunit ribosomal RNA
Source: RNAcentral